This 479-nucleotide ribosomal RNA is filed under the name uncultured bacterium. RNAcentral's name for it is "partial 16S ribosomal RNA". It matches the Rfam family "Bacterial small subunit ribosomal RNA", at positions 28 to 506 of the family's 1533-position model. The record is from RNAcentral.
GACGAACGCUGGCGGCGCGCCUAACACAUGCAAGUCGAGCGAUGAAAUUUUAACCGAUCUCUUCGGAGAGAAGAUAAAAUGGAUUAGCGGCGGACGGGUGAGUAACACGUGAGAAACCUGCCUUUCACAAGGGGAUAGCCUCGGGAAACCGGGAUUAAUACCCUAUGACACAUUUCCUUCGCAUGGAAGAAAUGUUAAAACUCCGGUGGUGAAAGAUGGUCUCGCGCCUGAUUAGCUAGUUGGUGGGGUAACGGCCCACCAAGGCCAUGAUCAGUAACCGGCCUGAGAGGGUGAACGGUCACAUUGGAACAGAGACACGGUCCAAACUCUUACGGGAGGGAGCAGUGGAGAAUAGUGCACAAUGGAGGAAACUCUGAUGCAGCGACGCCGCGUGAGCGAUGAAGGCUUUCGAGUCGUAAAGCUCUGUCCUAUGGGAAGAUAAUGACGGUACCAUAGGAGGAAGCCCCGGCUAAUUACGU